CCUACGGGAGGCAGCAGUGAGGAAUAUUGGUCAAUGGGCGCGAGCCUGAACCAGCCAAGCAGCGUGAAGGAUGACUGCCCUACGGGUUGUAAACUUCUUUUUUAAAGGAAUAAAGUGAGGCACGUGUGCCUUUAUGUAUGUAUUUUAUGAAUAAGGAUCUGCUAACUCCGUGCCAGCAGCCGCGGUAAUCCGGCGGAUCCGAGCGUUAUCCGGAUUUAUUGGGUUUAAAGGGAGCGUAGAUGGGUUGUUAAGUCAGUUGUGAAAGUUUGCGGCUCAACCGUAAAAUUGCAAUUGAUACUGGCAGCCUUGAGUACAGGUGAGGUAGGCGGAAUUCGUGGUGUAGCGGUGAAAUGCUUAGAUAUCACGAAGAACUCCGAUUGCGAAGGCAGCCUACUAAACUGCCACUGACAUUGAUGCUCGAAAGUGUGGGUAUCAAACAGGAUUAGAUACCCCUGUAGUC
Molecule: ribosomal RNA, 460 nt
Filed under: uncultured bacterium
Lineage: Bacteria
Description: partial 16S ribosomal RNA
Rfam family: Bacterial small subunit ribosomal RNA
Source: RNAcentral